AUUGCUUUGGCAGAAUAGUGCUUUAAAUUUAGAAUUUAAUUAUAUGAUAUUCAUAGGCAAUA
This 62-nucleotide transfer RNA is filed under the name Xorides funiuensis. Its description in RNAcentral is "tRNA-Leu". Lineage: Eukaryota; Metazoa; Arthropoda; Insecta; Hymenoptera; Ichneumonidae. The record is from RNAcentral.